This 254-nucleotide ribosomal RNA is filed under the name uncultured bacterium. RNAcentral's name for it is "partial 16S ribosomal RNA". It matches the Rfam family "Bacterial small subunit ribosomal RNA", at positions 524 to 776 of the family's 1533-position model. The record is from RNAcentral.
UACGUAGGGUGCGAGCGUUGUCCGGAAUUAUUGGGCGUAAAGAGCUCGUAGGCGGCUUGUCGCGUCGGAUGUGAAAGCCCGGGGCUUAACUCCGGGUCUGCAUUCGAUACGGGCAGGCGUAGAGUGUGGUAGGGGAGAUCGGAAUUCCAGGUGUAGCGGUGAAAUGCGUAGAUAUCUGGAGGAACACCGGUGGCGAAGGCGGCAUCCUGGACCAACACUGACGCUGAGGAGCGAAAGCCAGGGGAGCAAACGGG